GAUGAACGCUGGCGGCGUGCCUAAUACAUGCAAGUCGAGCGAACGGACGAGAAGCUUGCUUCUCUGAUGUUAGCGGCGGACGGGUGAGUAACACGUGGAUAACCUACCUAUAAGACUGGGAUAACUUCGGGAAACCGGAGCUAAUACCGGAUAAUAUUUUGAACCGCAUGGUUCAAAAGUGAAAGACGGUCUUGCUGUCACUUAUAGAUGGAUCCGCGCUGCAUUAGCUAGUUGGUAAGGUAACGGCUUACCAAGGCAACGAUGCAUAGACGACCUGAGAGGGUGAUCGGCCACACGAGAGCGGGGACACGGUCCAGACUCCUACGGGAGGGAGCAGUAGCGAAUCUGCCGCAAAGGGCGAAAGCCUGACGGAGCAACGCGGCGUGAGUGAUGAAGGUCUUCGGAUCGUAAAACUCUGUUAUGAGGGAAGAACAGAUGUGUAAGUAACUGUGCAGAGCUUGACGGUACCUAGUCAGAAAGCCACGGCUAACUACGUG
Molecule: ribosomal RNA, 497 nt
Filed under: uncultured bacterium
Lineage: Bacteria
Description: partial 16S ribosomal RNA
Rfam family: Bacterial small subunit ribosomal RNA
Source: RNAcentral